ACGUACACUCCUGCGGGAGGCAGCAGUGGGGAAUAUUGGACAAUGGGCGCAAGCCUGAUCCAGCCAUGCCGCGUGAGUGAUGAAGGCCCUAGGGUUGUAAAGCUCUUUUGUGCGGGAAGAUAAUGACGGUACCGCAAGAAUAAGCCCCGGCUAACUUCGUGCCAGCAGCCGCGGUAAUACGAAGGGGGCUAGCGUUGCUCGGAAUCACUGGGCGUAAAGGGUGCGUAGGCGGGUCUUUAAGUCAGGGGUGAAAUCCUGGAGCUCAACUCCAGAACUGCCUUUGAUACUGAAGAUCUUGAGUGCGGGAGAGGUGAGUGGAACUGCGAGUGUAGAGGUGAAAUUCGUAGAUAUUCGCAAGAACACCAGUGGCGAAGGCGGCUCACUGGCCCGAUACUGACGCUGAGGCACGAAAGCGUGGGGAGCAAACAGGAUUAGAAACCCUAGUAGUCCCAUGA
RNAcentral lists this ribosomal RNA (455 nucleotides) under uncultured organism. Its description in RNAcentral is "partial 16S ribosomal RNA". It matches the Rfam family "Bacterial small subunit ribosomal RNA", at positions 329 to 800 of the family's 1533-position model. The record is from RNAcentral.